This 1349-nucleotide ribosomal RNA is filed under the name metagenome. RNAcentral's name for it is "bacterial LSU rRNA". It matches the Rfam family "Bacterial large subunit ribosomal RNA", at positions 1564 to 2925 of the family's 2925-position model. The record is from RNAcentral.
UGAGUACGAGCUGCUACGGCAGCGAAGUGGGUGAUGUCAUGCUUCCAAGAAAAGCCCUAUACCCGUUAAGGCAUGAUGGCCUGUACCCGAAACCGACACAGGUGGGGUGGUAGAGAAUACCGAGGGGCGCGAGGUAACUCUCUCUAAGGAACUCGGCAAAAUGGCCCCGUAACUUCGGGAGAAGGGGUGCCACCGCAAGGUGGUCGCAGUGAAGAGGCCCAGGCGACUGUUUACCAAAAACACAGGUCUCCGCUAAGUCGCAAGACGAUGUAUGGGGGCUGACGCCUGCCCAGUGCCGGAAGGUUAAGGAAGCUGGUCAGCGUAAGCGAAGCUAGCGACUGAAGCCCCGGUGAACGGCGGCCGUAACGAUAACGGUCCUAAGGUAGCGAAAUUCCUUGUCGGGUAAGUUCCGACCCGCACGAAAGGCGUAACGAUCUGGGCGCUGUCUCGGAGAGAGGCUCGGCGAAAUAGAAUUGUCUGUGAAGAUGCGGACUACGUGCACCCGGACAGAAAGACCCUAUGAAGCUUUACUGUAGCUUGGUAUUGUGCUCGGGCUCGGAAUGCGCAGGAUAGGUGGGAGGCUAUGAACCAUUGCUUGUGGGUGAUGGUGAGCCACUGGUGAGAUACCACUCUUUCCGAGCUAGAGUUCUAACAGCCACCCGUUAUCCGGGGGCUGGACAGUAUCAGGUGGGCAGUUUGACUGGGGCGGUCGCCUCCUAAAAGGUAACGGAGGCGCGCAAAGGUUUGCUCAGGCUGGUUGGAAAUCAGCCGACGAGUGUAAAAGCAGAAGCAAGCUUGACUGUGAGACCUACAAGUCGAACAGGGAGGAAACUCGGCUUUAGUGAUCCGACGGUUCUCGUGGAAGGGCCGUCGCUCAACGGAUAAAAGUUACUCUAAGGAUAACAGGCUGAUCUCCCCCAAGAGUUCACAUCGACGGGGAGGUUUGGCACCUCGAUGUCGGCUCAUCGCAACCUGGGGCUGAAGUCGGUCCCAAGGGUUGGGCUGUUCGCCCAUUAAAGCGGUACGCGAGCUGGGUUCAGAACGUCGUGAGACAGUUCGGUCCAUAUCCGGUGCAUGCGCAGGAAUAUUGAGAGGAUUUCUCCCUAGUACGAGAGGACCGGGAGGAACGCACCUCUGGUGUACCAGUUAUCGUGCCAACGGUAAACGCUGGGUAGCCAUGUGCGGAGAGGAUAACCGCUGAAAGCAUCUAAGUGGGAAGCCCACCUCAAGAUGAGUAUUCCCAUGGGGUAACCCAGUAAGGUCACGGGAAGAACACCCGUUGAUAGGCUCUACGUGGAAGCGCAGUAAUGUGUGAAGCGGAGGAGUACUAAUAGACCGAGGGCUUGACC